CCUACGGGUGGCAGCAGUCGAGAAUCAUUCACAAUGGGGGAAACCCUGAUGGUGCGACGCCGCGUGGGGGAAUGAAGUUCUUCGGAUUGUAAACCCCUGUCAUGUGGGAGCAAAUUAAAAAGAUAGUACCACAAUAGGAAGAGACGGCUAACUCUGUGCCAGCAGCCGCGGUAAUACAGAGGUAUCAAGCGUUGUUCGGAAUCGCUGGGCGUAAAGGGUUCGUAGGCUGUUUCGUAAGUCGUGUGUGAAAGGCGCGGGCUCAACCCGCGGACGGCACAUGAUACUGCGAGACUAGAGUAAUGGAGGGGGAACCGGAAUUCGCGGUGUAGCAGUGAAAUGCGUAGAUAUCGAGAGGAACACUGGUGGCGAAGGCGGGUUCCUGGACAUUAACUGACGCUGAGGCACGAAGGCCAGGGGAGCGAAAGGGAUUAGAUACCCCAGUAGUC
RNAcentral lists this ribosomal RNA (446 nucleotides) under uncultured bacterium. RNAcentral's name for it is "partial 16S ribosomal RNA". It matches the Rfam family "Bacterial small subunit ribosomal RNA", at positions 338 to 795 of the family's 1533-position model. The record is from RNAcentral.